GGUUAAGUGACUAAGCGUACACGGUGGAUGCCUUGGCAGUCAGAGGCGAUGAAAGGCGUAAUAACUUGCGAUAAGCCCAGAUUAGGUAGUAAUAACCUUUUGAGUCUGGG
Molecule: ribosomal RNA, 110 nt
Filed under: Vibrio splendidus
Lineage: Bacteria; Pseudomonadati; Pseudomonadota; Gammaproteobacteria; Vibrionales; Vibrionaceae
Also listed under: 3 other names
Description: partial 23S ribosomal RNA
Rfam family: Bacterial large subunit ribosomal RNA
Source: RNAcentral